UACGAAGGGGACUAGCGUUGUUCGGAAUUACUGGGCGUAAAGCGCGCGUAGGUGGUUUGUUAAGUUGGAUGUGAAAGCCCCGGGCUCAACCUGGGAAUUGCAUUCGAGACUGAAUAGCUAGGGUGCGGUAGAGGGAAGCGGAAUUUCCGGUGUAGCGGUGAAAUGCGUAGAUAUCGGAAGGAACAUCAGUGGCGAAAGCGGCUUCCUGGACCAGCACCGACGUUCAGGCACGAAAGCGUGGGGAGCAAACAGG
RNAcentral lists this ribosomal RNA (253 nucleotides) under uncultured bacterium. RNAcentral's name for it is "partial 16S ribosomal RNA". It matches the Rfam family "Bacterial small subunit ribosomal RNA", at positions 524 to 776 of the family's 1533-position model. The record is from RNAcentral.